CGCACAUUGCGCCCUUUGGUAUUCCGAGGGGCAUGCCCGUUCGAGCGUCAUUACACCAAUCAAGCCCGGCUUGGUAUUGGGUCCUGGGGGCGACCCGGACCUCAAAAUCGCCGGCUGGAAAUCUUCAAACCUAGCGUCGUGGCACAUGAAUUCGCUAGCGGGAGGGACGUUCCACGCCGCAAAGCUCAUCGAAGGUUGACCUCGGAUCGGGUAGGGAUACCCGCUGAACUUAA
RNAcentral lists this unclassified non-coding RNA (233 nucleotides) under Capnodiales sp. Its description in RNAcentral is "partial contains 5.8S ribosomal RNA, internal transcribed spacer 2, and large subunit ribosomal RNA". The record is from RNAcentral. Lineage: Eukaryota; Fungi; Ascomycota; Dothideomycetes; Capnodiales.